Molecule: small nucleolar RNA, 138 nt
Filed under: Ornithorhynchus anatinus (platypus)
Lineage: Eukaryota; Metazoa; Chordata; Mammalia; Monotremata; Ornithorhynchidae
Source: RNAcentral
CCCUUCUCAGGAUGGCAACUGGAGAGUUUCCAGUACUCUACCAGUCUCAGCUACUGGAGGGAGAGUCGAGCAGAGGCCUAACCAUUCCAUUCCUAGCUUGGGCAGUGGCUAGCGAGUGGAGGGCAAUCAGUUACAAGU